AGAUCAAAGCCAAGGACCAGCAAGCCAAGCAAAGAUGGGUUCCAGCGGCUGGCUUCUCACAGGCAGCUUCGGGUCUACCGCUUUCUGCACCCUGCCCACCCACUCCCAGCAGAACUGGAACCCCUCUCCCUGAGGACAGGACAUUUUGAACCAUUCACGUAAAAGUCUCAACCACGGAGCGUCAGCACCAACCCACCCUUCAGGCGUUGGCAGCAAGGACAACUGUGUUCAGGUGAACUUCUAGCCCUUUCAGACUUCACUGGAUGCUUGGCAUUUGCUACACUAGUUCCCAUUUUAGUGUUCUGCUUGUCUCGUAGACUGGACUGUAAACAACUUGAGCACCAGGGACCUGAAGCCCCCGGAUUCCACAGCAGGGCACUUUACAUGUGAAGAGCCAUUAGCCAGGAAAUGCUUAUGGUUGUUAAUGAUGAUAAGCUACUCCAAACAUAGUUUCUUUUAUCUGCCUACAUCAGAAGCUUGGCUUCUUGAGACAAGAGACUCAGACUUCUCAUUUAUACUCUUGACAGACUGUGGAAAUCAAUAAUGGCUUGCACCCAUCAGUGUCCUGGAAGUAGGAUUGAGAGAGAAGAUUCUCUUGAGAACCGAUUUCUCCUCAAAAUAAGAUUAGGCUUGAAAAAAAAAAAAUCAACCUCCCCACUGCUUAGCUCACAGGUAUGGUGCUAAUGGCAGCAACUUAGUCAUGAAAUGGGGAACAACAAUGUAAAAAAUCCUUGUUAAUUUGCUUAUAAUUAUCCAGAACUAACUACAGGUACACUGAAGAACUGUAUACUUGAUGGGAGGGAGAUCUACACCGCUAAGUCAAUAAGACCAAUUUCCGAUUUUUCCCUGUGAGCAUUUAUUUGCAGAGCCACAUAUUGGCAACAUAAGAAACUAGCGUUGAACAAACCUAAGAAGUGAUGAAUCCUCCCCGGGAGGAGAGCUGCAGCCCUGAAAUCCAAAGCAGAAUGGGCUGGGGGCAGCUUGAGGUCUGUGGGCGAAACUCAGCACUCCCAGUCUAGGGUGCUGCUCACCCAUUAACUUGGCCUCCUCUUGCCACUGUUGUUUUAGCCCUUAGUGAGCAUCUGUGUGGCUCAGAUUUAACCAGACCAAAGGGGCUGUGGUGGUGAGAGGGCAGAGAAAGCUGGAGGAAGAAAUGGCUUUUUUUCUGGAGAGGAGUGAGGACUAAGUCACUUCAAGGAUGAUCAUAUUCCCAGGAGGAGCCAUGAUAUGAUAUUAUUUGAAUAUCUAGCUCCACGCAGCUCUAUUUUUCCCUUCUCACUACUAGAAGAUUGUAAUCACCCGGUAUCAGCACAUUCAAGAUACUACCGAGGACCUAACAGCAUGCCCAAAACCUCUCAUCUCUGCACAUAACUGCGUACAAAUGACUAAAAUCACUUUGCUUCAAAAACAGAGUAGCUGUGUGAAAGGCAUUUUAGAGCAUGUGGGAUUCCACACACAGGCAAGUUCCAGGGAUCUCAGAAGCUUGGCUAUUUCGUUCAGUGCCAAGGAGGCAAAGAUGAGGACAGGCAGUCGUGUGGGUGGGAGGCAGUCCUUGGAUGAUUAGCACAGGUGUCCAGGAGGGAGGGGAGGGUAUGGAAAUGGUACAAACAUGAGAGGAAGCUGUGCCAGUGGGUCAUCAUGCCCCAUUUGUACAGAACAUUGAGUGGACUGUAACUGUGGACAACUGAAAUACCGAAAAGAAAAUGUGCACACACUGUUUAAAUUCUAAACAGUGGGAGAAUCGUUGUUUAAAGAAGAACAGAUAAUUGCUCAUUCCACCCUCCCCAGUCUUUGAAAGAUAGACACAGGAGUGUCACACAGUACAAGAGUUUGUAUUACACAGAAAGAGGGACUUACAGACAGAAACAAAAUUUAAAAACAAACAAACCACCAGCAUUUAUCACCGUUUAUCCAGCCAGUGGUUUUCUUUAUCCCCUUGGCUAUUACUUUAGAUAUUUUUGCUUGGAACUUCUCCCCCACUUUUUCUGACAGCUCAUUGAUCUUGGGUUGGAUCAUCACAGUUCGUGGGAAACAAUACAGGCUACUUUUCUAGCUUAUUCCUUCUUAGAUGCCUCUUGGAUAUUGUCCAUUUAAUAUGUUUGAGAAAUAUAGAGAGACAAAACACACAGUGUUUUAAUCUCAGAGUAUAUGUAGUGUGUCCCUGGAGAAGAAGUCUCAUAUAUCCAAGGGAAUCAUUCCAUUAUUUUAAAGUAAGGCUUGUAUUUCAGAUUGAUCCACCUGGAACAUGUAAUCAAAACUCAUGAACUUUAAUAUAAAUUCCAGAUUCUGGUUUCUUAUCUAUAUUUUUGGGAACAUAACAUUGGUAGAUAAACUAAUUGAAAAAAAUAUUUUCAAUGUUGAUUUAGAAAUGGCUUUUAACUAUUUCUACACAUUCCAUCACUCCAUCUCAGAAGAAGCGGAGUAGAAAACUGCAGCAAAUGGGACUUUAUAUUAAAGUCCUAGGAAAUAUAUUCUGGCUGAUGUGAUGGUUCUUGUGUGUUUCAGUAGGCAUGUAACAUGUGAAUCGCUUUGUGGAACUGGGUUCGUGAGGCUAGUAUUUAUGAAGCUGUAUAUUUCCUUCUGUGUAGUAACACAGAGAGUGAUUCAGGAGAAUGAGAAAAUCCUGUUUCCUGGAAAUACCAUCCAUCCUGAAGGAGUUACGAGAACCAGAACAGAUAUGUAUUUUGCUAUUUAUCUCACACUUAAAGAUUAUACAAUCCAUUUUCCUAGGGCAAGCACAAAUGGUCAGUUUUAUAAAUCUUGAUGGACUAAGUCAAGUAAAAAAGCCCACUAGUUAAGAGUCCAGAUAUCGAGAGACACAAAUCUGAGGAACGAUCAAUUAGGACACCGUGGUAGCUUGUCUCCAAGAUGUCCAUCAUCAGCUCUUUCCUUCCCUGCAUGUUUGUGCUGUUCUCUAGUUGAACGGUGGCGUCUAUUCACUCCCUUAAAACUGGACUGGACUGUGACUUCUCUGAACAACAGUGACGUGAUGUUUCAUUCCCAGUGUUUGAGAGGAUAGGAAAUUUCUAAUUUCUUUUCCUUGGAACAUUUGCUCAGGAAAAAGCCAGUAACUAUGUAAGAAGGCUAACUACUGCGAGACCACCAUGCUAUGAGAAAGCGCAAGCCAUGUGGAGUGACUGCACGGGCUCUCAGAGAUGCCCAGCCAAGCCCCACCCUCCAUCCACCCGAGCCGAGGCUCUGCAGCCUACAGAUGAUUUCAAUUCCAGCCAUAAUCUAACUCCAACUUCACAGGAGACCUGAAGCAAGAACUAGCCAGUUAAGUCUAAUCAACUCAUUAAACUGUGAGAGAUAGGCAUACAUUGUUGUAGCCUACUAAGUUUUGAGAUGGUUGGUUAUGCACUGUGGAUUCCUAUUACCAAUCGGCUAUAAUUAUAAAAUAUCCACUGGCAAAUAUAAGUUCCAGAGGCAAAGACUGUGUUCCUUUUGCUCAUCAUUGUAUUCAUAACAUGCAGCACAGUGCCUAGAACACAGAAAGCCCUAAACUAAUAAUACGUAAAAGUUUGAAAAAGUUUAUCUGUACUAGUAUGAAAGAAAGACCCAUAGUCAAACGGCUGACAUUUUUUAGCAAGUUUGAUGGGCACAAUAACCUUAUGGUGGUGGUAUUACUACCUCUGUCUUUGAGAUGAGGGAACCUCAGCUUUUUUUUUUUUUUUUGAGGAAGUAAGCUUCCCAAGCUCAGAAAGGUAGGGGAGAGGGCCAGGCAUGGUGGCUCACACCUGUAAUCCUAACACUUUGGGAGGCCAAGGCGGGCAGAUCACCUGAGGUCGGGAGAUCGGGGCCAUCCUGGCCAACAUGGAGAAACCCUGUCUCUACUAAAAAUACAAGAAAUUAGCCGGGCAUGGUGGCACAUGCCUGUAAUCCCAGCUACUUGGGAGGCUGAGCCAGGAGAAUCGCUUGAACUCAGGAAGCAGAGGUUGUGGUGAGCCGAGAUCACACCAUUGCACUCUAGCCUGGGCAACAAGAGCGAAACUCUGUCUCAAAAAGAGAAAAAAAAAAAAAGAAAGAAAGGUAGGGGAGAGAUUUGAACUCAGAUUUGUGCAAUUCUAAAGCCAGCCUGUUUAUUAUAGUCUCCCAGGAGACUACAACAGAAACAAUGAGAAAACAAUUUGAAAGAGAUGCAAAACCCACCCCUUGAAUCUUACCCAGGACUAUGGAGCUCCAUUAAUUGCUGUCAACACGCUGGAACCUAUUUCACAUGAAGCUCAGACCAAUUACAAUUAAUGCCACAGUCAUGACUACAAACUAGAAACCAAUGCCAGAGGAAGCUUAAGUUAAAGAAAGCAACGAUCACGCACAUAUAUUAUGUUAGCAAUUAGGCUUAAUCCUAGAAUCGUGAAGCCAAAGAGAAUAUAUUAAAGAGAGAACAGUGCCCUCCUGGGAAGAAGAGCAAUUUCAAAUAGACUUUUUAGUGGCUUUCUACAUUACUUACUUGAAUAUAUUAUGCUCCCCUAGAAUUACUAUAUUACAAUUACUCACGCCACAUUUUAUUUAUUUCAGCAAGGAAAUGGGAUGGUGCAAUGAGCUCAGUGGGCAGACGGUUUGGUUAUUUCAAUGAAUAAUUUGAAUGUCAACAAGUUGGUGGAUGCUAAGAUGAAAGGGGAAGUAGUAAAUAGCAAAGGUCUCAAUGCCUGACUCUGAGAUGGAGUAAGGAUGAGCUAUCAGGACUGGCACUUCACUUCUAAAUGUUGAGCACUCAGGUUUUGCUAAAUUUAUAAAAGCACAUGAACUAACUAACAUCGCAUAUUUCCUUAACGAGAAGACCAGUUUAUCUCUGUUUAAAACAGUUCUGAUCUACUCAAAUACACAUUUUUAAUUUUCACUGAAAAAUGUUAUAAAUAAAUCAAAAUUUAAAUAAAAAAACUGGGAGGGAAAGGUAGAUCUACUUCUCAAUUCAGAAGAUUAAUAAAAGGAUUAAGGAAUUAAAUAAUCACAUUCUCUAGCCUCAGCUCACGACUUUUUCAAGGCUCAGUUUCUCAAUAAAUGGAAAAGCAAAUUCUCAUUAUUCUCCCAAUCUGUUUGAAAGCAGAGCUGGGGUGUUACAGUGAUUAACAGUUAUCAAGGCCCAUUAAAGUUGUUAAUUAUAGUGGCGUUCACUAUCUUUUUCCAUCAUUUUUAGCUAUUGAGACAGGGUCUUUGUGGAUCCCAAGGAUCAUGUGUUUGCAGUUCAAUUCAGCAGCCACUAGGUGGUAAUAUUGUUGAUUUUGGUAGCCAUGAAGUGUGAUCUAUCAGACCUGCCCUCUUAAAUGGAAUUAUGUACAUCCCUUAUAUCAUCAAGAUGUAAUUAUAGAAAUAAUUAUACUUUAAAAUAUGUAAAAUAUUUUAAUUGUGAAAAAUAUAAUCCCUUAUAAAAGUUCCAUGCAUAUCUGGUACCUUUUAAACUUAUGCUAAUUCUACUUACCUUUUAUUCUAAUUAUACACAUGACUAUCUUCAAAUUAUACAUAUAACAAAAAUAAAGUGUCUGGUCUUAACAGAAAUCCAGCUUAUAUUCAUUGCUUCUGGCUUAUUUUUAGAAGAGAUGAAAAAGAUGCACAUAACUUUCCUUCUAAAAUUAUGGCCGUCCUCUGUAGUAAAUAAUUAUUUGCCACUUGAACUUGGAACCACUGCUAUUCGCACCAUUGGGGUCCUGGGACUCAAAAGAAACCAAGUGGUUCUCUAAGUUAGUAGGAUGGCACAGUAACAACGCUGGGAUUGAGCUCACCCUGACCCUGAGAUCCCUGCCAUGUUUAUGGGAACUUUUAAUGUGAGCAUCACAGUUUUGAAGGCCAUAUCAUUAUGACCAUGUUUGAUCUGAGGGUGGGAAAGCAGGAGCUCACAAAAUGCCUGCACAAGGUUAUUCUGAACUGAGCUAUAAACCAGCUUCAACAAGAGCCUAGUGUGGAAAAGAAAAAAGACACGUAAGAAAAAAGGCAUGGAUAUCAUGGAGUUUGCAACCCCGCCAAGUGGUGCCAUUAAAAUUACAUUCAAUUCUUCUCAGAAAAUGAAAUUAAGAAAAAGUACCAC
RNAcentral lists this long non-coding RNA (6022 nucleotides) under Homo sapiens (human). RNAcentral's name for it is "non-protein coding lnc-GREM1-2:3". Lineage: Eukaryota; Metazoa; Chordata; Mammalia; Primates; Hominidae. The record is from RNAcentral.